RNAcentral lists this transfer RNA (91 nucleotides) under Catellatospora chokoriensis. RNAcentral describes it as "tRNA-Gly". The record is from RNAcentral. Lineage: Bacteria; Bacillati; Actinomycetota; Actinomycetes; Micromonosporales; Micromonosporaceae.
CGCGGCGUGCUGCACGGCCUCGGUGACCGGCUGCCGGCCGGCCUCGGCUGGGCCCCACUGCGCCCGGCGAUGUACGAGACGUUCGCCGUGG